Molecule: long non-coding RNA, 335 nt
Filed under: Homo sapiens (human)
Lineage: Eukaryota; Metazoa; Chordata; Mammalia; Primates; Hominidae
Description: long non-coding RNA NONHSAT246077
Source: RNAcentral
GUCUAAUUGAACUAAUGUUGUGUCCUAAUUGUUUACAUGGAAAUACUGUUGAGAAGACCAUUUUGUUCACUUGGCAGUUUCUUCACACUUGAGAUGGGGCCUGCCAUCCGAGGGACUGUGUUGUAGAUUGUGAUCAAGGUUGAUUGGCAAAACUGGGCAGCUUUUGCAUGGUGCCUGCUUACUAUAUCUGAAUUCAGCACCUCAUUUUUGUGGGAGUUGUAAUACCCACAAUUAAAAAAAAAGUAUAAAAGAGAAAAAUAUUUGAAGGUGUCUUUAACCUAAUGCGAGGAAUGCAUGUUGUUUUUGUUUGUUUAUUGUAGUGUGAUGCCUUUUCC